GACGAACGCUGGCGGCGUGCUUAACACAUGCCAGUCGAACGGAAAGGCCUCUUUCGGGGGGUACUCGAGUGGCGAACGGGUGAGUAACACGUGAGUAACCUGCCCUUGACUUUGGGAUAACUUCAGGAAACUGGGGCUAAUACCGGAUAGGAGCUCCUGCUGCAUGGUGGGGGUUGGAAAGUUUCGGCGGUUGGGGAUGGACUCGCGGCUUAUCAGCUUGUUGGUGGGGUAGUGGCUUACCAAGGCUUUGACGGGUAGCCGGCCUGAGAGGGUGACCGGCCACAUUGGGACUGAGGUACGGCCCAGACUCCUACGGGAGGCAGCAGUGGGGAAUAUUGCACAAUGGGUGGAAGCCUGAUGCAGCAACGCCGUGUGCGGGAUGACGGCCUUCGGGUUGUAAACCGCUUUCGCUCAUGACGAAGCUUUGUGUGACGGUAGUGGGUAAAGAAGCACCGGCUAACUACGUG
RNAcentral lists this ribosomal RNA (467 nucleotides) under uncultured bacterium. Its description in RNAcentral is "partial 16S ribosomal RNA". It matches the Rfam family "Bacterial small subunit ribosomal RNA", at positions 28 to 507 of the family's 1533-position model. The record is from RNAcentral.